Molecule: ribosomal RNA, 492 nt
Filed under: uncultured bacterium
Lineage: Bacteria
Description: partial 16S ribosomal RNA
Rfam family: Bacterial small subunit ribosomal RNA
Source: RNAcentral
GAUGAACGCUGGCUACAGGCCUAACACAUGCAAGUCGAGGGGAAACGGCAUUGCGUGCUUGCACUGAAUGGACGUCGACCGGCGCACGGGUGAGUAACGCGUAUCCAACCUUCCCGUUACUGCGGGAUAACCUGCCGAAAGGCAGACUAAUACCGCAUGUUCUUCGAUGACGGCAUCAGAUUCGAAGCAAAGAUCCGUCGGUAACGGAGGGGGAUGCGUCUGAUUAGCUAGUUGGCGGGGCGACGGCCCACCAAGGCGACGAUCAGUAGCGGUUCUGAGAGGAAGCUCCACCACAUCGGAAAUGCGACACAGACCAAACUCCGAGGGGGGGGAGGAGAAAGGAGGAUUAGUGAAGGAGCGGAAGUCUGAACCAGCCAAGUAGCGUGCAGGAGGACGCGCCUACGGGUUGUAAACUGCUUGUAAGCGGGGAUAAAGUGAGGGACGCGUCCCUUUUUGCAGGUACCGCAUGAAUAAGGACCGGCUAAUUCCGUG